RNAcentral lists this ribosomal RNA (253 nucleotides) under uncultured bacterium. RNAcentral describes it as "partial 16S ribosomal RNA". It matches the Rfam family "Bacterial small subunit ribosomal RNA", at positions 524 to 776 of the family's 1533-position model. The record is from RNAcentral.
UACGAAGGGGGCGAGCGUUGUUCGGAAUUACUGGGCGUAAAGGGCGCGUAGGCGGCCCCUUUUGUCGCGUGUGAAAGCCCCGGGCUCAACCUGGGAACGGCGCGCGAAACGGGGGGGCUUGAGUUCGGGAGAGGAGAGUGGAAUUCCCAGUGUAGAGGUGAAAUUCGUAGAUAUCAGGAGGAACACCAAUGGCGAAGGCAGCACUCUGGGACGUGACUGACGCUGAGACGCGAAAGCGUGGGGAGCAAACAGG